This 498-nucleotide ribosomal RNA is filed under the name Lacticaseibacillus paracasei. Its description in RNAcentral is "bacterial SSU rRNA". It matches the Rfam family "Bacterial small subunit ribosomal RNA", at positions 60 to 531 of the family's 1533-position model. The record is from RNAcentral. Lineage: Bacteria; Bacillati; Bacillota; Bacilli; Lactobacillales; Lactobacillaceae.
AGUUCUCGUUGAUGAUCGGUGCUUGCACCGAGAUUCAACAUGGAACGAGUGGCGGACGGGUGAGUAACACGUGGGUAACCUGCCCUUAAGUGGGGGAUAACAUUUGGAAACAGAUGCUAAUACCGCAUAGAUCCAAGAACCGCAUGGUUCUUGGCUGAAAGAUGGCGUAAGCUAUCGCUUUUGGAUGGACCCGCGGCGUAUUAGCUAGUUGGUGAGGUAACGGCUCACCAAGGCGAUGAUACGUAGCCGAACUGAGAGGUUGAUCGGCCACAUUGGGACUGAGACACGGCCCAAACUCCUACGGGAGGCAGCAGUAGGGAAUCUUCCACAAUGGACGCAAGUCUGAUGGAGCAACGCCGCGUGAGUGAAGAAGGCUUUCGGGUCGUAAAACUCUGUUGUUGGAGAAGAAUGGUCGGCAGAGUAACUGUUGUCGGCGUGACGGUAUCCAACCAGAAAGCCACGGCUAACUACGUGCCAGCAGCCGCGGUAAUACGUAGG